RNAcentral lists this small RNA (273 nucleotides) under marine eukaryotic metagenome. Its description in RNAcentral is "5' ureB small RNA". It matches the Rfam family "5' ureB small RNA". The record is from RNAcentral.
CUGUUGUGGACAAAUCAUAUGAAUAUGAGAAUCAACGCCGCCAGCGGUUAAAAUUUGGCCUUCGCCAGCAAUGGCUUCGCUACCGGGUCCGACAACAAUAUUCACCCCUGGCUGAGUAUCGGGAUUGCCCGCUUUUCCUAUGCCAGUGAUGCGACCGUCUUUGAUGCCAAUAUCGGCUUUGAUAAUCCCCCAGUGAUCAACGAUUAAAGCAUUAGUGAUGACCACAUCGACGGUUUCAGCUGAUACUCGUUGGCUCUGUCCCAUACCAUCUCG